AGUGAACGCUGGCGGCAGGCCUAACACAUGCAAGUCGAACGGAAGCACGGUGCUUGCUUGCGGUUACAGCGGGGGACUGGCGGGCGGUUCAGGAGAAUAUCCGUGGCUGCUGUUUCGUAGGGCCUAAAGCAGGGGCACUUACGCCAUUAGCGCAUACGACGUACGGGGGAGAGCAUCGGAUCUUCCGACCUUGGGUGAUUGAAUGCGCGGAUGUCGGAUUAGUUGGUUGGAGGGGUACUGGCCCACCAAGGCGACGAUCCGUAGCUGGUCUGAGAGGAUGAUCAGCCACACUGGAACUGAGACACGGUCCAGACUCCUACGGGAGGCAGCAGUGGGGAAUAUUGGACAAUGGGCGCAAGCCUGAUCCAGCCAUACCGCGUGUGUGAAGAAGGCCUUCGGAUUGUAAAGCCCUUUUGUUGGGAAAGAAGAGCAGUAGGUUAAUACCACGCUGUUUUGACGGUACCCACAGAAUAAGCACCGGCUAACUUCGUG
This 492-nucleotide ribosomal RNA is filed under the name uncultured bacterium. Its description in RNAcentral is "partial 16S ribosomal RNA". It matches the Rfam family "Bacterial small subunit ribosomal RNA", at positions 29 to 507 of the family's 1533-position model. The record is from RNAcentral.